Molecule: unclassified non-coding RNA, 3396 nt
Filed under: Chelonus insularis
Lineage: Eukaryota; Metazoa; Arthropoda; Insecta; Hymenoptera; Braconidae
Description: probable serine/threonine-protein kinase DDB_G0282963, transcript variant X3
Source: RNAcentral
UACUAUCGAAUGUACACGAAUGACAGGUGGUACUGUGAAUUUCUCGCUCGUACUUACACUUGAACAAAUGUGUAGUGUCUACAUCAUAUCUAAGAAACAAUAAUAAGCAAUAACAAGUGUGACAAUACAUAAACUAAUCGUGAUUCCUUGUAAUUGUGUGCAAUGCUUGCGCUUUAUGUACGCUGUUGGAUCUAGUGCGAUUGUUUAAGGUUUUAUAAUGAAUCCACCGAAUUCCCGUGAGCUGCCCAAAAAGAUUAGCUCCGUAAGAAAAGGUGUAGAAAACAAGUUGGCAUAUCUAUAUGGGGCAAUGCGUAUCUCGUAAGGCGGGCGCUGUCAUUGCAGCUUCGUCGUACCGAAUCAUGGACAAGCCCGCCAAAAAUAAGGACGAUAGCAAAAGUUCGUCGAAAAGAGGGGUACCCCAGACACGAGGCACUGCCAUAUCCUUCGGAUUCCGGCGAAAAUCUCGUGGCGACAAUCAGCACACAUCAAUAAAAAAUUAUGAGACCGAGGAGAUUCCACAACGUUCUAAAUCUGUUGGACCUGAACAAGUGAGGAGACGAUUAGUUGAUGAUGAUGAUCGACAUCAUCGAGUUCAAAGUGCGUCAUCAGGUCGAUCGACACCUAGAUUGGCACCACCCAAAAAAGAAGCUGUUAGUGGAGCUGCCGUGAGAACUAAUCGAUUCGGCUUUAGACAACCGCAAGCAAGGUACACAGACAAAGUGGCAGACAUUUGUUCCAGUCAUAGUGCGAGUCAUUUUAAUCAAGAAAAGAUGCAGCAAGAAGCAACUCAUCAUAUCUCACGAGCAUCAUCAAAAGUAAUUCAGCCAAUGUACUCCACCCAGCCCAGUUCAAAAUUACGACCAUCUCCAGUCAAUAAUCCUCCAGGAUAUCAUCACAACAAUAAUAAUAAUAAUAACAAUAAUAAUCAUGCCAUGGGCGAAACAAAUCGAAGAAUGACAGGCAUUCCAGAACCAGUCAGUAAAUAUACCCUCCAUACAAGUCAUUUACCUUUGCCACAAUAUGCUGUGAGAGUCAAUGACUCGAACUCAAAGGUCGCCAAAACAGCGGCCAAUCAAUGUCGAAAGAUUUCAACUGCUUCAAAAGGCUCCGCUAGUUCUCAAUCAGGUUCUGGAACUGAAGAUUCAGGAAUCAGUAGUCAACCGGGUUAUUCUGUGGAUAGCGAAACAUUGAGAAAUAUGGAUUAUAUGGAUGCAGGUUCUCCUGCUAGAAGGAUUAAUGUCAGACCAAGAAAUCUAAGGAUGGUCGUCAACGGAAAGAGUUUCGAUGUACGAGAUGUAGAUAAUGACAGUACUGUCACUGAGAUCUCAGUGAUUGCAUUGCCUAAGGCUUUUGCCAGCGUCAAUCUCAGCACAGGUUUAGUUCGAGAGCGAACCAAUCAGUAUCAAAGAAUCACAAAUAAGGACAAUAGGUAUACAGAAUCUACAACUUCAAUGUCAACAACCUCAUCUGAGGGUUAUGAUGAAGGUCUUGGUGAAGAGAAAGUAUACAAAGAUCGUUCACGUUCAGAAAAGAUUUCUUCAAUUAAAUCAGACUUCAGUCCACCCAGCUCCGAUGAUCCUGAAUACGGUCAUGGUGAGGCAAUGGCCGAUGAGUACUCUUUCAGCUCCAGCGAUGAGUGUCGAGCCAAUCACACUGAACAUCUUAAGACUAUUUCUAACGCAGUUAAGAGUGGAUCUCUGCCAAAGAGUACUUUACGCUCAGUAUUGCUUACCAUUGAAGAUCCUGCGUUUGCAGCUGCUGCUGCAACUUCUACUACUCUUAUAGAUGAUGAGACCUCACCAGUUGAUAGUUUAGUUGAUAGUUUAACAGCCAGUAUUACGCAGUCAGACGGGCAGCAGUCGAAAAGAGAAAAAGUGGUGGAAAAAGUCGAAAAUAUUGUUGAAGAUGAUUCUCCGGAAAAUUCUACAAAUGUUUCGAAUUCUCUAAGUUUAUCAGAAGGAAGAGAAUUUUUCGACGAUGAAAUUGCUGAUCAACCUGGAUUGACAUUUGAUGAUACAAUGAGAGGUGCACAUGAAACUCAGUCGGGUCGAGCGAGUCAAGCAGUUACCGACAACAGUCAUACAUUAGUUGAGCCUAUUCCAAAUAAACCAAAUUUACAACAAGGAAAAAAUGUAGAAAGCAGUCCUAUAAAUUGCCGACGAAUAAGUAGAACUGAUAGUGUAGGCACUUUGUCAACAUGUGAGUCAAUUACAUCUGAUGAUUUGAUGCUGGAUUAUGAAAGGAGUGAAACCAGUUCUUAUGGCGAAUCCAAUCGAUGGAUGGAUACCAGUCCAGCAGUACAUGAGAUCGAUGAGACAACAAUUCUUUCAGAACUUGAAGCGCAAGGUGAAGAAGUAAUGCGAGAAUUGUCUUCAUUAAUAAAUGCUCCUCCAAAAAACUCAAAUCUUAAUUUAGCAAAUCAUAAUUUAAAUAUCAACAAUAACAACAACAACAACAAUAAUAAUAAUCCUCCAACAGAAUCUGGAAUCGGCAGUGCAAGAACAUCGAGACUCUUACGUACUAGACCUGGAACAGAGUCACCGCGUUCCCUUGAUAGCGUGCGAACACGACAAAUACCCAGUCCUUUCAAGUUGGUGUCAACAGGAAAUGGACAAUCUCCUAACAUCGACUCUGGUGAUGAAGGAAGUCCAAGGCUGGAAAGAUGCAAUUAUCACCAGGAUUUAGUUCAUAUUAAGGCUGGGCUUUUAAAACUAAUGCGCAUCAUUCAGGAGACUGAAGAGAAUGUUUUGACGAGGGCGGAUACUCUCAACCCAUUCAACAACUCAACGGUGAAUGGUCUCUCCCAUAACCUGAAUGAAGAUACCUCAGUCGAUUCCAAUGGUUCUUUAGUUAAUGGAGCUUUAAAUAUUGCUGAUGAAUUGGCAGAUUUACGAAGACAAGUAAUUUUCCUUCAAGGCCAAGUAGAAGACAAAGACAGAAUGAUUCAGAAUCUUCAAUUGCAAGUAGCUAGGCAACAAGAAUUAAUGAAUAGUGUAGAUUCAACGAGCUGUGCUUCUUCGACUUAUGGAAGCAACAUGUCCCCUCUUAAAGAUGUAUGCAAUGCAGCAACACAAACAGAAAAAAUUCGUCCAGUAUCAGCAGGGCCAUCAUUACUUCAAUCAUUUCCACAAGAGAAUGGCAUGGGGCCUCUCGUAAGUCAUUUUACAAGUAUAUCAUAUCAAUGAACUAUUGUUAUUGCUGCCUUGGUUCGUGGUCUCAUUCUCUCUCUGGUUACACGACUGAAACAGCUUCAGGAUCGGGAAGUUGGAGUAACACGUGGAAUAAUCAAAAUUCAUCACCUCAGCGACCACCAUCAUUAGUAGAACUCAACACUACAAAAAAUCAUCUUAAGCCAAGCGAUCGUUUGCCAAAAAAUACAAAAUCUCGUCUUGAUAC